This 233-nucleotide long non-coding RNA is filed under the name Homo sapiens (human). RNAcentral describes it as "long non-coding RNA NONHSAT175046.1". Lineage: Eukaryota; Metazoa; Chordata; Mammalia; Primates; Hominidae. The record is from RNAcentral.
AAGGCGGGAAAGGAGGCUGGACCUGCCCCUGCGGGGCUGUGGGCUGAACACAGGGUUCAGGCUAGGUACCCCAUCCAGUGGGACCCCAAAUCUGAGCAUGGCAGCUGCCCCCUGAGCUCCUAUGAGGUGGAGACGUCACACAGUGGCUGAGCGUAAGCUCAAGGAUCUGGUGCGGGUGGAAGGAGGAAGAAGGGCGCACCCCCUGCUGGCUCCCCCUCCCCGUGGGACUCCCU